Molecule: non-coding RNA, 21 nt
Organism: Caenorhabditis elegans
Lineage: Eukaryota; Metazoa; Nematoda; Chromadorea; Rhabditida; Rhabditidae
Source: Ensembl
UUUUCCUAUCAAAUUAUGUGC